Molecule: long non-coding RNA, 1221 nt
Organism: Lycium barbarum (goji berry)
Lineage: Eukaryota; Viridiplantae; Streptophyta; Magnoliopsida; Solanales; Solanaceae
Exons: 3
Source: RefSeq, a predicted model, not a curated record
AAGGGGGCAUACACAGAUAGGGGUGGGAAUCAUUUUUGGACACAGAAGAUAUAGAAAUAGAGAGAGAGAGAGGGACAGUGACAAGAAAAAUUUAAAAAAAAUCCUCACCAUCCAAAUACCCAUGAUCAUAACCUUCCUCAAAUCAACACCACCACCGCGUCAUCUCCACCUUCACCGGAAACAACCAACACCGCCAAACCAUCGGAAAACCCCAACACCAUAAACCCACCUUGCUAACAACCUAUCUCCACUAUCUCGCCGCCAGCCCCACCGGAAAAACGAAACGAACCGGUCACCAAGCAGGCCUUUAAACCGCCGAACACCACCUGUAACCCACCAUUUCUUCACCAUCAAAACAACUUAAAAAACCCAACUGAAACAUCUUCAAAACAGUGCCCAAUCAAACACCCAUUAGCCAUAAACCCAAUAGCAUAACUGAUCUAAACAGAGGAGUCGGGGUUUCGGUUUGAGGUUCCGUUCGAGUUCGGUUCAAAGCUUCAGUUCGGGUCCCGUCGAAUAAUUUUGUGGAAUUAAAGCUAAUUGAGUCUAUUUGCAGCUGAUAGAAUCGGAACACGAGAAGCAGACAAACUUAUCCAAACGGCAUGUCACCACCGCACAAGCCAGACAACCACCUUGCAUUGUAGCUAUCUGAAAUUUUCUCUGUUCGUUGGUUCAUCCAUCUAUUUUAUAAUCCCACUGCUGGAGAAGGUUGGGUUGCGGAGAUGUUGGAAGUGGCUACUUGGCUGAACUGAGUCGAACCAAAUGUUACUUUGCCAUGGAAGUCACAGAUAAAGUAUCUUUAGCCAGCUGCCACGAAGCUUCUUCGUGCUCAGACCAAAAGACAAAUUUUACAAUUCCUUGAUCAUCGUUUUCUUCCAUCACUCUACAGACACUUCGACAGUGAUGAGUUCUCAUGUUUGGUCAUGGAUUCUACCCUGGAGGGAAUCUCCACACUGUUACGCAGAGACAGCAAAGGAAACAUUUUUCUGAACAAGCGGUGAAGUAUAACCUCCUUUCAAUCUUUGGAACAAACAAAUUAUAGUAGUAAUUUCAGACUUCUUUUUUAAACUAAUAGUCCCGUCACUUUCUUCCAUCCACUCUUCUCUGUUAAUAUGUUUGAUCGAAACAUUUUAGCUACAUAUUAAUUGUAAAAUUUAUAGUUAUGGAUGAUCAUGUUUUAAAAUAUUCUGCUCAAAAUCAUCGCAUUAGUUCUUUUUUUAA